CCUACGGGAUGCUGCAGUGGGGGAUAUUGCACAAUGGGGGGAACCCUGAUGCAGCGACGCCGCGUGGGUGAAGGAGCGUUUCGGCGCGUAAAGCCCUAUCGGCAGGGAAGAAGAUGACGGUACCUGACCAAGAAGCCCCGGCUAACUACGUGCCAGCAGCCGCGGUAAUACGUAGGGGGCAAGCGUUAUCCGGAUGUACUGGGUGGAAAGGGGGCGCAGACGGCAAUGCAAGCCAGGAGUGAAAGCCCGGGGCCCAACCCCGGGACUGCCCUUGGAACUGCAUGGCUGGAGUACAGGAGGGGCAGGCGGAAUGCCUAGUGUAGCGGUGAAAUGCGUAGAUAUUAGGAGGAACACCGGUGGCGAAGGCGGCCUGCUGGACUGUGACUGACGUUGAGGCCCGAAGGCGUGGGGAGCAAACAGGAUUAGAUACCCUAGUAGUC
Molecule: ribosomal RNA, 440 nt
Filed under: uncultured bacterium
Lineage: Bacteria
Description: partial 16S ribosomal RNA
Rfam family: Bacterial small subunit ribosomal RNA
Source: RNAcentral